CGUGAGGGAAAGGUGAAAAGCACCCCGGAAGGGGAGUGAAAUAGAACCUGAAACCGUGUGCUUACAAGUAGUCAGAGCCCGUUAAUGGGUGAUGGCGUGCCUUUUGUAGAAUGAACCGGCGAGUUACGAUUUGAUGCAAGGUUAAGCAGUAAAUGUGGAGCCGUAGCGAAAGCGAGUCUGAAUAGGGCGUUUAGUAUUUGGUCGUAGACCCGAAACCAGGUGAUCUACCCUUGGUCAGGUUGAAGUUCAGGUAACACUGAAUGGAGGACCGAACCGACUUACGUUGAAAAGUGAGCGGAUGAACUGAGGGUAGCGGAGAAAUUCCAAUCGAACCUGGAGAUAGCUGGUUCUCUCCGAAAUAGCUUUAGGGCUAGCCUCAAGUGAUGAUUAUUGGAGGUAGAGCACUGUUUGGACGAGGGGCCCCUCUCGGGUUACCGAAUUCAGACAAACUCCGAAUGCCAAUUAAUUUAACUUGGGAGUCAGAACAUGGGUGAUAAGGUCCGUGUUCGAAAGGGAAACAGCCCAGACCACCAGCUAAGGUCCCAAAAUAUAUGUUAAGUGGAAAAGGAUGUGGCGUUGCCCAGACAACUAGGAUGUUGGCUUAGAAGCAGCCAUCAUUUAAAGAGUGCGUAAUAGCUCACUAGUCGAGUGACACUGCGCCGAAAAUGUACCGGGGCUAAACAUAUUACCGAAGCUGUGGAUUGUCCUUUGGACAAUGGUAGGAGAGCGUUCUAAGGGCGUUGAAGCAUGAUCGUAAGGACAUGUGGAGCGCUUAGAAGUGAGAAUGCCGGUGUGAGUAGCGAAAGACGGGUGAGAAUCCCGUCCACCGAUUGACUAAGGUUUCCAGAGGAAGGCUCGUCCGCUCUGGGUUAGUCGGGUCCUAAGCUGAGGCCGACAGGCGUAGGCGAUGGAUAACAGGUUGAUAUUCCUGUACCACCUAUAAUCGUUUUAAUCGAUGGGGGGACGCAGUAGGAUAGGCGAAGCGUGCGAUUGGAUUGCACGUCUAAGCAGUAAGGCUGAGUAUUAGGCAAAUCCGGUACUCGUUAAGGCUGAGCUGUGAUGGGGAGAAGACAUUGUGUCUUCGAGUCGUUGAUUUCACACUGCCGAGAAAAGCCUCUAGAUAGAAAAUAGGUGCCCGUACCGCAAACCGACACAGGUAGUCAAGAUGAGAAUUCUAAGGUGAGCGAGCGAACUCUCGUUAAGGAACUCGGCAAAAUGACCCCGUAACUUCGGGAGAAGGGGUGCUCUUUAGGGUUAACGCCCAGAAGAGCCGCAGUGAAUAGGCCCAAGCGACUGUUUAUCAAAAACACAGGUCUCUGCUAAACCGUAAGGUGAUGUAUAGGGGCUGACGCCUGCCCGGUGCUGGAAGGUUAAGAGGAGUGGUUAGCUUCUGCGAAGCUACGAAUCGAAGCCCCAGUAAACGGCGGC
RNAcentral lists this ribosomal RNA (1428 nucleotides) under Staphylococcus aureus. Its description in RNAcentral is "bacterial LSU rRNA". It matches the Rfam family "Bacterial large subunit ribosomal RNA", at positions 502 to 1934 of the family's 2925-position model. Lineage: Bacteria; Bacillati; Bacillota; Bacilli; Caryophanales; Staphylococcaceae. The record is from RNAcentral.